UAGGAAGUAGUAUAAGUGGAAGUACUAAGAGUUUUGAUCUCUUAAGAAUAGGUUCAAAUCCUAUUUUUCUAA
RNAcentral lists this transfer RNA (72 nucleotides) under Neotrygon kuhlii (spotted stingray). RNAcentral's name for it is "tRNA-Gln". It matches the Rfam family "tRNA". Rfam says of the family: Transfer RNA (tRNA) molecules are approximately 80 nucleotides in length. The record is from RNAcentral. Lineage: Eukaryota; Metazoa; Chordata; Chondrichthyes; Myliobatiformes; Dasyatidae. RNAcentral also lists the same sequence under 1 other name.